CUGACCAAUAAUGCAGUUCCCGUCUCUGCCCUCAGCCCCAGCUCUCCCUGAUGAAACUCACAAUCUAAUAGGGAAAGGUGGCUGAUAAAUAGGUGAACAAAUGCAAAUGAUAAUUUCCAAUUGGGUUAAGUAACACAGUAAAUGAGAGGGCAUUCAUGUAAGACAUCUGCAAGGAGUUGAUGGUGGAAGUGAGACCUGAAGGAUGAGGAAGAGCCUGCCAUGCACCAGGGAAGAGCCUGUUGAGGCUUCUGAGACCACAGAGCCUGGGCAUGUUGGGAAACCAGAAAAGAGCCAGGACUUGGUUUCAUCGGCUACGCAUCUGUGGGAAAAGGAUGGUUGUUUGGCUGCUGGCGUAAGGAGAAUAGUUCCCUACAGGGGGAAGAAUAAAACCGCAACUUCCAUCACAUGCAAAUGUGAACACCUGAGAGAUCCAAGACCUUGCUGUGUGAAAGCCAACAGAAAUAAAGAGUUAAUAGGAAGGAAAGGAGGGGAAUAUCUUUGUUUUGCUGGGAUGAGAAGGGUAUCUUAACAUAAUUCAAAAACAUAACCCUCAGAUGGAAACUGGGUGAAUCUGACUACAUCAAAAUCAAGAAUUUUUUUAAAGAACACUUUAGUCAAAGAAAACAGCUGGGUGAAGACUUGGAGCAGAUUUUGCAUUGUCUGAAGCCAAAAGAUAUUAUCUAGAACAAGAGUUGGCAACCUGCAGCCUAUAGGGACAAAUCCAGUUAGUUGCCUAUGUUUGUAAAUAAAAAUAAAGUUUUAAUGGAACGCA
Molecule: long non-coding RNA, 772 nt
Organism: Callithrix jacchus (white-tufted-ear marmoset)
Lineage: Eukaryota; Metazoa; Chordata; Mammalia; Primates; Cebidae
Source: RefSeq, a predicted model, not a curated record